GUGUGUGUGUGUAUGCGUGUGUCAGUCAGAGAGAGGGUAUACAGUAUAAAGCUCUUAAGCCAUGUAAAAUAAUGUUACCAUACAGGAUAGGUAUAUCACCUCAAUACUUUAUUAAAUAAUAAACAUCAUCAUAAUGAAACAAGGAAACUAAAAAUUGCAUUCUAACACAUGACAAACAAGUUCCAUAGUUUUCAUGUUGAAGAUAUCCCUAACAACAGUACUAGAAAUACAUGUGGUGGCUUUACAAAAGUCACUCUGGGCUCACUUCAUUUUUAGUUUCUUCCAAUGCCAUUGUCAGUGCCCAUGGGCAGGUAACCAUGGAAACCUGGGGUAAGGGUGGCAUCGACCAUGAGAGACUGAAAGAUUACAGGUCUGUGAGAGACUGAAGGAUUACAGGUCUGUGAGAGACUGAAGGAUUACAGGUCUGUGAGAGACUGAAGGAUUACAGGUCUGUGAGAGACUGAAGGAUUACAGGUCUGUGAGAGACUGAAGGAUUACAGGUCUGUGAGAGACUGAAGGAUUACAGGUCUGUGAGAGACUGAAGGAUUACAGGUCUGUGAGAGACUGAAGGAUUACAGGUCUGUGAGAGACUGAGUCAAGUCUUUUUGUUUAGGUUUUGUUCUAAGGCUAUUUUCCUUUCAUAGAUUAUCAAACGGAAGUAUAAUGCAGCCUUGGAAAUAAUCUGAGACGUCGAUAAAAUGCAGUGCUGCUGGUUAACACGUACAGUCACUGAGGGUGAGGACCAGAGCUGCUUGUUCAGGACUGCCAGUGACUAUCCGAUCUCUACAAUGACUUCCUUUGUGCCCCAAUUCAUCACAUUGUUGCAUUGAUGAGGCUUUACCAUUGAUCCCGUUUUUUUAUUUUCUUAUUUAACUAGACAAGUCAGUUAAGAACAAAUUCUUAUUUACAACGACGGCCUGCCCCGGUCAAACCCAGACGACAAAGGGCCAAUUUUGAAAUGGCCCUAUUGGACUACCAAUCACAGCCGGUGUGAUUCAACCUGGAUUCAAACCAGGGACUGUAGUGACACCUCUUGCACUGAGAUGCAGUGCCUUAGACCACUGCGCCUCUCGGGAGCCCAUUGAUGAGGCUUCACCAUUGAUUCAUCAUUUAAUAUACACACGGCAGCCUUUACAACAUGGCCAUGCUUUUGUCUCUGUGAUGUCGCCGUGAGAAGAUUUACCCAGCCCCUGUUUCACAAGAUCCUCAGAGGAAGAUUUACCCAGCCCCUGUUUAACAAGAUCCUCAUCAAAGGAAGUGAGACAAGCACGAAUUUGAGACAAUUCCUUCCUAUAGAAGGCUAGGCAUGCAUCCCAAAUGGCACCCUAUUCCCCAUAGUGUCAUGGUCAAAAGUAGUGCACUAUAUAGGGAAUAGGGUUCCAUAGGGCUCUGGUCUAAAGUAGUGCACAAUAUAGGGAAUAGGGUUCCAUAGGGCUCUGGUCAAAAGUAGUGCACUAUAUAGGGAAUAGGGUUCUAUAGGGCUCUGGUCAAAAGUAGUGCACAAUAUAGGGAAUAGGGUUCCAUAGGGCUCUGGUCAAAAGUAGUGCACAAUAUAGGGAAUAGAGUGCCAUUUAGGAUACAUACCCAGCCUCUUAAACUCAUCAUCCUCCCUCCUGACCCAUCUAACUAUCACAAUGACACCAAUUAUAGCAGAACUUUUAUCACAUCUACCAUGUUGAGACGGUGUGGUGUCAAUAGCUGUGUCUGGGUUCUAGUCAGAGCACUGAGACAUAGCUGAGACAUUGCUGAGACAUAGCGGUGGUGGAAACAUGUGACAAACUAGGUCAUCAUUUCUCACAUGAUUUCAGACGCUUCAGGAUGUUAAAGACAAAGGUUCAUCAAAACAAAAUGAGAGUACCGGUACUGUAGAUUCUCUGUCAUUCAGUAAGAUAACAUCCACAAUGACAAUAAUACUUUAAAGUUGCAGUUAUAAUUAUAACAGUCCUCAUGACAUAAUUACAAACUAAUAGUGUUUGACAUGAGAUCUUCUACCGCGACUAGGGAUGAACUGAUUUAAGUUAAGGAAAUAAAAUGCAAUAGAAAACACAUCAACGUUGUGCUGAUCAAAACAAAAUGAAGCUUAGAUUUGAUCAGGUCAAAGCGUUGCCCGGCGAUAGCAGACACCCGCAUAGAGGAUGUUUUGGAGGUGUCGGAGGUGGAACUGCGUUGGAGCUGUCAAAUCGCUGAGCAGCUGCUCUUGCGAAGCCACAUCAGCCCCACUCACUUUAGAAUUUCAGAACGAGAAAAGUAUAGGCUAUAUAGAAAUAAUUACACAGAGUGGCGCAGCGGUCUAAGGCACCGCAUCUCAGUGCUAGAGGCGUCACUACAGACCCUGGUUCGAUUCCAGGCUGUAUCACAACUGGUUGUGAUUGGGAGUCCCAUAGGGUGGCGCACAAUUGGCCCAGCAUUGACCUGGUUUGGCCUAGUUAAAUAAAGGUAAAAUAAAUAAAAUAUAAAUAAUGAAGGUUUCUAUCAUCCUAAUGGAGGAGUAGAUUACAUCUAUCAUCUAUCAUCCUAAUGGAGGUGUAGAUUACAUCUAUCAUCUAUCAUCCUAAUGGAGGUGUAGAUUACAUCUAUCAUCUAUCAUCCUAACUGAGGUGUAGAUUACAUCUAUCAUCCUAAUAGAGGAGUAGAUUACAUCUAUCAUCUAUCAUCCUAAUGGAGGUGUAGAUUACAUCUAUCAUCUAUCAUCCUAAUUGAGGUGUAGAUUACAUCUAUCAUCUAUCAUCCUAACUGAGGUGUAGAUUACAUCUCACAUUUCUGUGUUCCAACAAGGCCACAUUUGUGUUAAUGCGACUCCGUGCAAACAAUGGCAAUGUCCUCUUUAGGUAUAAUGCCGGGAGCCAUUUGUGUAUUUGACAGCACUAACGCAGUUCCACCGUCAAAACACCCGCUAUGCAGAUGUUGGCUGAAGCUGAUCUGACUGAAUAGAGCACCUAGUCUAUCUAUCUGGCAUGCACACCACCACUGUAGCUAGACAUGACGUGUGGGUUUUUAAAAACGUUUUCCUGUCGUCGGUUCAUUUGGUCACACAGCAACAUAUUUACACCGUACACUUUUCUUCUUCCUUUAAAAGGGAUAGUUCAAACCAAUUUGUCAUUUUGUAACUUGAACUAUAACUUUAAGUCUGCACUUUAGACAGACUGUUAUAGGUGUGUCCAUACAUACUGUAGCAGCAAAAACACAACUCACAGAGCACUGGUGACAUAGACUUCCUUCACCUCAUAUCCCCCAAAACCAAAGCUCACGUUAGGCCAAACUAAGGUCUGCCCCAGCUCAAAUAUUCUGGAAGGUACAAUAGUCUUCACUUGAAUUCCAUUUCCCAUUCAUGUAAUUCAUAGAAUAGACGUAGGGUCCAAGUCUCCUGUUUUCUUCCUGGUUGAGGCUCCAUAUUAAGUCCAUUUGUAGUGAAGGAGUUCAACCGAGUUCCAGGGUACUAAUGAGGUGUUUGAUUGGACAGAUAGUCACAGUUUCUGUUGAGUAGUAUGAUAUGAUUGGUUGAAAACAGAGUGAAAGGUCCCGUUUAGGAAUAAGAUUGGAGGAACAGUGAAUUGAUCCCACUCAAGAUUUUGUUUGGGUCGGUGGAGGUAAAUUAGAUAAGGGGUGAUCUUCUGAAGGUGAGGGUGGACAGGGUUAUGAUCCAGCUCAAGGUUUUGUUUGGGUCGGUGGAGGUAAAUUAGAUAAGGGGUGAUCUUCUGAAGGUGAGGGUGGACAGGGUUAUGAUCCAGCUCAAGGUUUUGUUUGGGUCGGUGGAGGUAAAUUAGAUAAGGGGUGAUCUUCUGAAGGUGAGGGUGGACAGGGUCAAGGUGGCAGUCACAUUAUAAUGACAUAAUAACAGAAUUAAACUGAAGCGUCUACAGGGCCUAUGUGUCUCACCUCUAUAACUCCAUAAACUACCGCCACUCAGUGAGCUUGUGGUUGUCAUGCACAACAGGGUAGUCCCAUAGCUGUAAACUGUACGGGACGGAUCGGGAUUUGACUCUAAGGUCAUACACGGUCAUGAAACAUCAUUUUACGAUUUCCCUGAAAGAUGCAAUAAUAUAACAUUAGAAGUACAGGAUUUAACUAGAAGUCUCCUGGUGGAAGAAAAACUCUUCCAAUACUAUGAUCCACAUGUAAUCCCUAUCACCCCUACAGACAGUAUACAACCUAAUCCCUAUCACCCCUACAGACAGUAUAGUAUACAACCUAAUCCCCAUCACCCCUACAGACAG
Molecule: long non-coding RNA, 4214 nt
Filed under: Salmo salar (Atlantic salmon)
Lineage: Eukaryota; Metazoa; Chordata; Actinopteri; Salmoniformes; Salmonidae
Description: lncRNA (ENSSSAG00000100771.1)
Source: RNAcentral